RNAcentral lists this ribosomal RNA (587 nucleotides) under uncultured Burkholderia sp. RNAcentral's name for it is "bacterial SSU rRNA". It matches the Rfam family "Bacterial small subunit ribosomal RNA", at positions 335 to 915 of the family's 1533-position model. Lineage: Bacteria; Pseudomonadati; Pseudomonadota; Betaproteobacteria; Burkholderiales; Burkholderiaceae. The record is from RNAcentral.
ACUCCUACGGGAGGCAGCAGUGGGGAAUUUUGGACAAUGGGGGCAACCCUGAUCCAGCAAUGCCGCGUGUGUGAAGAAGGCCUUCGGGUUGUAAAGCACUUUUGUCCGGAAAGAAAACCUCCGUCCUAAUACGGUGGGGGGAUGACGGUACCGGAAGAAUAAGCACCGGCUAACUACGUGCCAGCAGCCGCGGUAAUACGUAGGGUGCAAGCGUUAAUUGGAAUUACUGGGCGUAAAGCGUGCGCAGGCGGUUCGCUAAGACCGAUGUGAAAUCCCCGGGCUUAACCUGGGAACUGCAUUGGUGACUGGCGGGCUAGAGUAUGGCAGAGGGGGGUAGAAUUCCACGUGUAGCAGUGAAAUGCGUAGAGAUGUGGAGGAAUACCGAUGGCGAAGGCAGCCCCCUGGGCCAAUACUGACGCUCAUGCACGAAAGCGUGGGGAGCAAACAGGAUUAGAUACCCUGGUAGUCCACGCCCUAAACGAUGUCAACUAGUUGUCGGGUCUUCAUUGACUUGGUAACGAAGCUAACGCGUGAAGUUGACCGCCUGGGGAGUACGGUCGCAAGAUUAAAACUCAAAGGAAUUGACG